Molecule: long non-coding RNA, 554 nt
Filed under: Hordeum vulgare
Lineage: Eukaryota; Viridiplantae; Streptophyta; Magnoliopsida; Poales; Poaceae
Description: long non-coding RNA (HVUL_LNC015928)
Source: RNAcentral
CCCAUGUUUGUGUCAUGCACAUCAACAACUCCAAUGCUUAUCACAAGCCAACCCCACACACACAACAUGCUCUCUCUCAUAUUAAACAUGAGGAGGAGCACAAGUGUUGCAAAGUGGGGCUGCCACCCACACGCAUAUCCUCACCACAACCUCAUCUAGGUGCACAUGAGGGCUUCCUUCUUGCACAAAUGAAGGUGCCAACACUUGCACACACCAAGUGCACAAUGCACCACAACUCCACUCACUUGUGCUUGCAUCUGCACUAGCACUAGCACUCACACACACACACUCACAAGUAUCUAGGGCACACACACUCACAAACACAUCAUGCUCGAGAUCAAAUCCACACACUUACUUAUGUAAUCAAAGCAACCAUCACUAGAACAAGAACUACUAUACUUAUACACACACCACCUAGUGCAACAUCAAAUGCAAGCACCUACAACAAAGAAGUACCUACACAUGUUACCACUACACUUGCUAUCAUAUCUUAGGAUCAACUUCUAGGAAGUACCACCAUACACACAAUCUAGUGCAACUAAACCCAUAUGUAU